GGUUUCAUCGUGUUAGCCAGGAUGGUCUUGAUCUCCUGACCUCGUGAUCCGCCCACCUCGGCCUCCCAAAGUGCUAGGAAUACAGGCGUGAGCCACUGUGCCUGGCCUCAAUCAUUUCUUCUAAAGUACAGGACUUUGAAUAUGAGAUCAGCUUAUAUUCAAAAUCAAUUUAAUAAUUAAAUCAAAUUUAAAUAUUAAAUUAUUUGCAGGCCAAAAGAAGUGAGCUUCCUAAAGUGACACCCAAUACUCUUGUUAAAGCUGCUACAGAAUGCUUUUCUAAGAAAGACCCUUCAGCUUAUGGGUGUUAUUUUACAUCUGUCACACAAAAGAUUUCUCUUUGGAAACAAUUUAGUAUUCUAAAUAUUUUUAGUUAAUUGAACAUAGUACUCAAAGACUGACUUUUGUUGCCACUAUGAGAACAUGGUAAUGUCACAGGUCAACCAAUAACAGGAUUUCAUCAAAUGGUCUGCUGCACUGUGCUGGAAUUUUGAACUCCCCAGAGUAGUAAACAACAUCUUCUCAAGGGUAUACAAGUCAUCAGAUAGAGAAAACACCCAUUAUAGAGCUGUGGAGCCCUUACGAUAUAGUGCUAUGCUGCAACAAAUUAGACAGAAGAGUAUUUGUUGAAUAAUAAAAGAGUCUCACUCUAUUGCCCAGGCUGGAGUGCAGUGGCAUGAUCUCGGUACACUGCAAGCUCUGUCUCCUGAGUUCAAGCGAUUCUCAUGCCUCAGCCUCCCGAGUAGCUGGGAUUACAGUUUUCCAAUAAUAACAUAGAAAAAAGGAAGAAUUUGAGAGUUUCUCAGAUUAGGCAAUUCCUUGAAGAAUCUGAGAACACAGAAGCUCCCCUCCCUACUUUCCAUGAUUGAAAUCAGUGAUUCAUUGGUUUCUUUGUGUGGGCUUUUGAAAGAUCAUUAGAAACCAACCUGAAGAUCAUGAGAUUCUUGUGGACACAGGAGCAAUGAGUGGCAAUACAGUGCUUUCUAAUGCAACCUACUUUAAAAGGUAAACAGAUAAAAGAAAAUACCGAAGACUGAAAAUGCAGAAAAUUCAACCAUGCAGCCCAUUCCAAAUUAAAUAUGUCUUCCUCUCUAAUUCCUCUCUUCUAGCAGAGAAGGGGAGAUGAGCUAUGACUCCAUGCUCAUGCUUAACAAAAUUGUGUUAGAUUGGUGCAAAAGUAAUUGCAGUUUUUGCCAUUUAAAAGUAAUUGCAAUGUUAUCUCCUAGAAUUUUUAUAGUUUCAGGUCUUAAGUUUAAGUCCUUAAUCCAUCUUGAGCUGAUUUUUUGUAUAGGGCUGGACGUUCGCUUAGGCAAGGAUUUCA
Molecule: long non-coding RNA, 1318 nt
Filed under: Homo sapiens (human)
Lineage: Eukaryota; Metazoa; Chordata; Mammalia; Primates; Hominidae
Description: HSALNT0055798
Source: RNAcentral